Molecule: ribosomal RNA, 253 nt
Filed under: uncultured bacterium
Lineage: Bacteria
Description: partial 16S ribosomal RNA
Rfam family: Bacterial small subunit ribosomal RNA
Source: RNAcentral
UACGAAGGGGGCUAGCGUUGUUCGGAAUUACUGGGCGUAAAGCGCACGUAGGCGGAUCAGCAAGUCAGGGGUGAAAUCCCGGGGCUCAACCUCGGAACUGCCUCUGAUACUGCUGAUCUAGAGUCCGGAAGAGGUGGGUGGAAUUCCUAGUGUAGAGGUGAAAUUCGCAGAUAUUAGGAAGAACACCGGUGGCGAAGGCGGCCCACUGGUCCGGUACUGACGCUGAGGUGCGAAAGCGUGGGGAGCAAACAGG